Rhinolophus ferrumequinum (greater horseshoe bat) is the source of this 1970-nucleotide long non-coding RNA. The record is from Ensembl. Lineage: Eukaryota; Metazoa; Chordata; Mammalia; Chiroptera; Rhinolophidae.
GGCAGGUGAGGCAGGUGAGGCUUGGGUAAGGUGACCCUGAGCCCGGGGGCCUCCUGGACUGACGAGAGCCCGGGCCUGGGGAAGGUGCUGGCCCCACACGCUGGAGGGCACAGGACAAGGACACGGUAGGCCCGGCCUGAGCCACCGCCCUCGGGUGCAGCACCUGGUGUGUGAGGCCUGGCACUGAAUUGCGCCUGCGCCUCCAAAGCCUCACUCUUGCCUGGGGGCGGCUGCGCAGGAAGCCUAGACUCGCUUGUCACAAGGUGACGCGGCCUUUGGGCACCACUGCCCGGGUCCUGAAUGCGAUGCUGCCCUUUGUGUCACUAAUGCCAGGUGAGGCCCUGAUGCCAGGUGAGCAGGAGGACAAGGUAAGGAACCUGACACCCAGGCCUGGAGCUGUGAAGCGGCUCUGAGGUGACGUCUCCACGCUCACAUUUUUGGCCGAGUGUGACGGUCGUUUCCUGAACGUCAACAUCCGUUUUUCAGCCUGGACGAUGACCUCUUCAGAAAACAAUCUUGACAGCAAUAACGGCCGACCCUUUGUGGUGCACACCGUGGCCCAGCAGCCUUACCCAAGCUUCUGGUACCAGAAUCCUGCCUAUAAUCCGUUCUGCGUUCCCGGGGCAGGGUCCAGAAAUGGAAGCCUGUAUUUCCCAUGUUCAGUGGUGCCCAUUCUGGCACUACAGUGGCUAUGCAAGAAAAAUGAAAACACAAGAGACUCAAACUGAACUUCAGCAGGAGAAUAUGAGCAAAAAACAAGAUUUACACUCUAAAGGCAACAGCCGUGACAUAGGCAGGGUGACCAGUUUCUCUACUAACAGUGACAUAGAAAGUGACAACAUUCCCGAAGAAACAGAUGGGGCUUGGUCUUCGGUUGCUCAGAAGAGGGAACUACAUGCUAAGAGCUCUCCUAAUGAAACACUGUGUGGUGACACACCUCAAGGAAGCUAUGCAUCUGAGAACAAGAAAAUGAUGGAAGAGGGCAAAGGAUCUCUUGUAAUACAGUUCUGGAAGACUUUCCAAGAAACCGUGCAUUUGUAUGACCUGGUUUAUGGUAGAUCCAUGCCAGAGAAUGUGCAGCACAAUAGGAUUUCACGGAGUUCAUGUGAAAGUCUGGGUGUGCCCAGUAAUCCUCAGGAGGGUGAAGACCCCAUUUUGUAUAAAGGUGAACAAAUCGCUGUCGGGUCAGAGCAGUGUCAGGUUGUAAGACAUGAUGAGAUGUUAAAGUCAGGGUUAACCAUGGAGACGGAUAAAGAAAAGAAGGGACAUGUAGCUGUUCCCCAAAUCCUGCCACCUCCAGAUGAAGUGAAAGACGGAGUUGAGAUCCAUAAUACUCUGAACUCAGACUUGUAUCCAUCUUCUGGAGAUGUCACCACAUGUCACGAAAGGCCACUGUGCAUCAGCAUGGAAGCAGUCAAGGACCUGAGCCUACAAUCUAGAUCCCAGAAGACCCUUGUUGGGGAAAGAAAGCCAGACAACAGUAGGGGGAGCCAUGGCUUCCCUGAGAAAGUAGAUGAAGAGGAAGUGGGAGAGCAGAACAGUUACUCCCAGGGGGCCGUUCCCUCAGCUGCCUGGUUGGCCCAGUUUGAGAAAGUUGAUGAAGCCAUCCAGUGUGAUAGUUGCUGGUGGCAGGAUGCAGAACUGGAGAGGUGCCUUGAAUCAUCAACAGAAGGGAGUGGAAAGGGAACAGGGAGAGAUUCAAGGCCUUGAGCUUUAUCCUGAAGAUGAAAACUUAAAGAUAUUGGUAAUGAUUCUGUGUAUAAGGUAUCUUGAGUCUCUUAUACAACCAAUUUAAGGAGAUGUAUUAUUCCAUCACUAUUUCAUAGGAAACUAUUUUCUGAGUUCCAGUUACAAAGAAUAGCUAAAUAUUACAAUGUCAUGUUUGGUUUAGAACAUUGAUUUUUCUCUUGAUUUGAACUAAUACAGCUAUUAUACAAAAACCAAGUUAAGAAAAUGUGACAUUGUAAAGC